This 256-nucleotide ribosomal RNA is filed under the name uncultured bacterium. RNAcentral's name for it is "partial 16S ribosomal RNA". It matches the Rfam family "Bacterial small subunit ribosomal RNA", at positions 521 to 776 of the family's 1533-position model. The record is from RNAcentral.
UAAUACAGAGGUCUCAAGCGUUGUUCGGAAUCACUGGGCGUAAAGGGUGCGUAGGUGGCUAAGUAAGUCAGAUGUGAAAGCCCGGCGCUCAACGUCGUGAUUGCAUUUGAUACUGCUUGGCUAGAGUUUUGAAGGGGAGUCUAGAAUUCACGGUGUAGCAGUGAAAUGCGUGGAUAUCGUGAGGAAUACCAAAGGCGAAGGCAGGACUCUGGGCAAAUACUGACACUGAUGCACGAAGGCUGAGGUAGCAAACGGG